AUGGCGUCGGCGGUGCUCUCGUACAUUCAAAGCCUGUGGCCGCUCUCGGCUCUCCUGAAGGAGGACGACCUGGGCGCCUCCGCGCGGCUGGUGCGGACCCUCUCCGUGCCCGAGGAGACGAAGCAGUUCGUGUUCGCGAUCCGGGAGCCCGAGACGCAGGGCUUGCUCUACAUCCUCGCGGCGCAGAACCUCUCCGAGCAGUCCGCUUUGGACGCCGGACAUCUGAUCAGGGCGGUGCGGCCCCGGGCCGUGAUCACCCAGGUCGCGCACACAGAGGUCGAGGACGUUUUGAUCGAGGAGCAGUGCCUGGCUGAAGGCGGAGCGGGCGGCGUGCCGGCGUCGCCACUACAGGUGAUUAAGCGUUGCAUCACCGAGAAGAAGAGCAAAGAUCACUAUGUGAAAUCCGCCGCUUGCCAGGUCCUCCGGGAGAUUUUUGGGGUUGGAUUCUAUGGCCACCUAUUGGCUGCCAAGAGAGCUGCGGAGGAGACAGAGUCGCAUUUUCUCUUGCUCGGCUCUCCGUAUGAGAAGAAUUGCAAUGCGGGUGGAUCGAGCAACGGAAAUAGUACGGACGAUAAUCCGGCUCCGCAAUUGCAGACUAGCUGCACUCUUCCUCAGAGUGCCAUGGAUGAUAAAUCUGGUCUCCAGUUACAGAGUAACUGCUUGCUCCCUAAGAGUGCCACAUCUGCAGUAAGCUCCCAUGUCAGGAAGAUAUGCCUUGUGGAUGAUUAUGGAGGGCAGCUCAUGAAGUCGCUAGCUCCAACUGCUAACUUGUUGUUGUCCCAAGCUAUCUCUUCCUAUGCUGUUGCGGAGUGCAGACUGUCAGAAUGUAAGCCGGCCGACAGAUACGAGCCUCCACUUUUUGCGCAGACCGUCUACCCUCUGCUCUCUGACCUUUAUGAGAUAUUUGUUCAAAUUCCGUCAAUUGGGAAGGCUAUGGCUUCUGCACAGAUGUUGCUCACUCAAGUUCACAAGGGGAAGCCAGUUUGCAGUGAAAUGUUAUCUGAUGUCUAUGUAUUUGGAAUUGCAAUAGAGGCUCUCAGAAUAUGUUUAAACAAUGCAGGAAGACGCCGCAUUAAUACUAGGGAUAAUCAUAGUUUGGAGAAAUUGGAUUUUGCAGAGCUCCCUUCUGAGGAGAAGUGCCACAUUCUUCUUGUUCAAGCUCUCAGAAGUCAACUAAGGGAGUUCGGUUCUGUGGUGGCUGUAGUUGAUGCCAGCUGCUUAGCUGGAAUAAGGAGACACUGGAACACUCCUGUUCCUUCGGAGAUCACACAAUUAGCUGGCAGUUGCUUCAAUCAUUAUGGCAACAAAAAUGAGAGCGAAAAUGAGAGUGAUAACAAUGAGGUGCCAUCGGACAGCACUGAUAAAAAGAGCUGGAUAGCUGAGAAACCUGUGGUCGCAGUUGGUGCGGGAGGAACAGCAAUUCUUGGUUUUUCAUCUUUGUCGAAAACCAUCCAGGCAUCUGCCAUUCUUAAGUUGGCUCCUUAUAAAACUCCAGUGAUCUUAAAGUAUGGCUUAAUGCAGCUGCAAAGGCAUGCCGGCGUUGUAUUAAGCAAGCUCCUCUCUCAUGGGGUUGUUAGUGCUGGUUCGAAGUCAUCUGUUUUACAGUUCACAGCUUCAGCAGAGAAGAUUCGGGCGGUGACACACACCGUAAUAUCAUCUGUAGAGAGAACUAGCUUGUUGGCGAUGCGGACAUCGUUCUACGAAAUAAUGCAAAAGAGGCAGAAGCACAACCGACCUUUCCGAAUAGCUCCUUGGGCAACAUUUAGUUUUAGCUUGGUUGCAUGUGCUGGCCUCCUGAAGCAUGGAGAUGGGAUUGAGUGUGCUGCUGAGGCCGCACCUUCUGUUCCCAUGAUUGCCUCCCUGGGCCGUGGUCUUGAGAGCUUGCGUGUCACUUCAGAGGAAACGAGGCAAACAAGGAGCCAAAAUGUGAAGGAAGCUUUGCUAACAUUGUUGCGCAGCUUAAAGAAAUCAGAAAAGUAA
RNAcentral lists this ribosomal RNA (1980 nucleotides) under Triticum aestivum (bread wheat). Its description in RNAcentral is "partial small subunit ribosomal RNA". Lineage: Eukaryota; Viridiplantae; Streptophyta; Magnoliopsida; Poales; Poaceae. The record is from RNAcentral.